AUGCUGGCUUCCGCAGCACAUAUGCAAAAAUUGGAACUAUUCAGGGAAGAUUGGUGUGGCCACUGCGCAAGAGUAACUCACAAAUUCAUAAGGUGUUAAAAACAAAA
Rattus norvegicus (Norway rat) is the source of this 107-nucleotide small nuclear RNA. The record is from Ensembl. NCBI's taxonomy places the organism in Eukaryota, Metazoa, Chordata, Mammalia, Rodentia, Muridae.